RNAcentral lists this ribosomal RNA (486 nucleotides) under uncultured bacterium. RNAcentral's name for it is "bacterial SSU rRNA". It matches the Rfam family "Bacterial small subunit ribosomal RNA", at positions 29 to 510 of the family's 1533-position model. The record is from RNAcentral.
AUUGAACGCUGGCGGCACGCUUAACACAUGCAAGUCGAACGGUAGCAGGUCCUUCGGGAUGCUGACGAGUGGCGGACGGGUGAGUAAUGCGUAGGAAUCUGCCUAGUUGAGCGGGAUAGCCUAGGGAAACUUAGGGUAAUACCGCAUAAGCCCGAAAGGGGAAAAGCAGGGACCGAAAGGCCUUGCGCGAUUAGAUGAGCCUACGUCGGAUUAGCUAGUUGGUGGGGUAAAAGCCACCAAGGCGACGAUCCGUAGCUGGUCUGAGAGGACGACCAGCCACACUGGGACUGAGACACGGCCCAGACUCCUACGGGAGGCAGCAGUGGGGAAUAUUGGACAAUGGGCGCAAGCCUGAUCCAGCGAUGCCGCGUGUGUGAAGAAGGCCUGCGGGUUGUAAAAGCACUUUCGGUGGGGAGAAUGAACUUGUUCCUAAUAGGGACGAGGGAAGAUGUUACCACAGAAGAAGCACCGGCUAACUCUGUGCCA